GGAAUUUCAAGAUGUUUCAAUGAAAUAUUUAUCCUUUUUAAAUGAAUUACUGCUUUUGUGCUACAUAUGUAUAUGCAUGAUAUAGAGUAGUUUCUUCUUCUAAGAUAUCAUUUCUAUUUUCCUAGAUAACAUCAUUAAAUUCAUUAUCCACCUCAAUUCCCUGGGUUAAUUUCCUAGAAAAUAUUUAAACACAGGACACUUAACUCACCUGAUAAUUUUAAGACUCAUUAUAGUUUGUGUAUAAUAGCAGUAUGCUAAAAUAAAUGUAAGUCAAGUUUAGACAUAUAUAGUGAAAUCAAGACACAUGUAGAAGGAGGGAAAAUGACUAUUAAAUAUUUUUAAACAGAAUAACUGUAGCUAUGCACAGGAAAAGUUUUGCUACAGUAAAAAAAAUCAAUGAUAUAUGUUUCACUUGUAUUAUUUCCAUAAACUAAUGAUUGAUUAUCUUACCAAAAUGACCAGGGCACAGUAAUAUUGCCAAUAACAGAUCAAAUAAUGCAUUACAUUUUGAGGAAAAAUAUUG
RNAcentral lists this long non-coding RNA (523 nucleotides) under Homo sapiens (human). Its description in RNAcentral is "HSALNT0045179". Lineage: Eukaryota; Metazoa; Chordata; Mammalia; Primates; Hominidae. The record is from RNAcentral.